RNAcentral lists this long non-coding RNA (2513 nucleotides) under Salvia miltiorrhiza (redroot sage). RNAcentral describes it as "long non-coding RNA (SMIL_LNC004631)". Lineage: Eukaryota; Viridiplantae; Streptophyta; Magnoliopsida; Lamiales; Lamiaceae. The record is from RNAcentral.
UUGGAUAAAUAAUUCUGUUGAAAACUCCAUUGGCAUGCAACUGGCUAAGUAUGAUACUGCAAAAGAAGUUUGGGAACACUUGGGGAAACUUUACACUCAGUCUAAUUUUGCAAGACAAUAUCAAUUGGAAAUGGAUAUUCGUUCUCUCAAUCAGAGGGACAUGAGUAUUCAGGAAUUCUAUACUUCCAUGUCAGAUUUGUGGGAUCAGUUGGCUCUCACUGAGUCUAUACAACUUAAGGCUUUUGCUCCCUACAUUGCUCGGAGAGAAGAACAACGCUUGGUUCAAUUUUUGAUGGCUCUUCGUGAUGAUUUUGAGGGCUUGCGUGGCAACAUUCUACAUCGCAAUCCCCUGCCCUCUGUGGAUUCUGUUGUUAGUGAACUUCUUGCUGAGGAAAUUCGACAUAAGUCAGGAACAGUUAAAGGCACUCAAUCUGUAUUGGCUGCUCACUCUCGUCCUCAACAAAGAAGCCAUGGAAGACCUCCGAGCUAUUAUCAGAAUAAGAAUCCAAUCUCUGAUACGAGCAUUUGCAACUACUGCAAGCAACCUGGUCAUUGGAAGGCUCAGUGCCCUGAAUUGGCAAACAAGUCACACACUACAGCUGGUCGUCCUCCUCCUACUUUUGGCCAGAAUCAAUCUUAUAGACAUCCCAAACCUCCUCACACUGCUGCUGCCACAUCUGAAUCUACACAGAUAGAUUCUGGAAUCUCUACUUCCACAUCAAAUGAUCUCUUUGAGAAGUUUCAAAAGUUCAUCAACUCUCAACCUCAUGCUAUGACUGCUGCAGCAGGUUUGUCGACCUCAGGUUCCACAGGUACAUCUUCUUCUUCUGCUUGGGUUUUAGAUUCUGGAGCUACCAACCAUAUGUCUCCCAAUGCAGAUACUUUUGCUUCCAUUAGUCCAUCACAUUCCAUAUCUGUUGCCACAGCUGAUGGAACUCAUAUAUCAUCUUCUGGAAUUGGUCAUGUUAUCUCACAUAAUAUUUCUCUUCCACAUGUUUAUCAUAUUCCUAAACUUGCCUUGAAUUUAGCCUCUGUUAGUAAAAUUUGUGAUAAAUAUUCUGCUGCUGUCACAUUUCUUCCUGAUUCUUGUCAUAUUCAGGAUCUACAUUCUCGGAGGGAGAUUGGGACAGGCCAUAGGCAGGGCGGACUAUACAUUUUGGAUCAUCUUCGACCCCCAGGAGUUGCUGCCUCUAGUAUUGACUUGUCCAAUUUUCAUUUGAAUUCGUCAUCUUCUAGUUUUUAUUUAUGGCAUUCUCGUCUUGGACAUGUUUCUUCUUCUCGUUUAAACUAUAUGGCUAAUAAUGGAUCCUUAGGGUCCAUCAAGAGUCAUGAUAUAUCUUCUUGUAGUGGUUGUAAACUUGCAAAAUUUUCUGCCUUACCUUUUCAUCACAGUGAUUCUGUUUCUCAUUCUCCUUUUGACUUGAUUCAUUCUGAUGUUUGGGGACCCUCCCCCAUUGCUACAAAAGGGGGGUCAAGAUAUUAUGUCUCAUUUAUUGAUGAUCAUACUCGAUAUUGUUGGGUUUAUCUUAUGAAACAUCGUUCUGAUUUUCUAGGAAUUUAUCAAGCUUUUCGUGCUCUUGUCAAAACUCAAUUCUCUUCUGUUAUUAAGUGUUUUAGGUGUGACUUGGGUGGGGAAUAUACUUCCAAUAGCUUCAGAGAGUUGCUUGCUAAUGAUGGUACUAUACAUCAAAGUUCUUGCACUGACACACCACAACAAAAUGGUGUGGCAGAAAGAAAGCAUCGUCACAUUGUUGAAACAGCCCGCUCUCUACUUUUGUCUGCCUCUGUUCCCAAUGAGUUUUGGGGAGAGGCUACUCUUACCUCUGUUUACUUGAUAAAUAGGAUCCCAUCUGCCCUUACCAAAGGUGUGUCUCCUUUUGAGAAACUUUUUGGCUAUGCCCCUGACUACACUCAUCUGCGUGUGUUUGGAUGUGCUUGCUUCGUUCUUCGCCCUCAUGUUGAGCGAAAUAAGUUAUCCUCUCGUUCUGCCUUGUGUAUUUUCCUAGGGUAUGGGGAAGGUCAAAAGGGUUAUAGAUGUUUUGAUCCUGUUAGUCAUAAGUUGUAUGUGUCCCGUCAUGUCUUUUUUAUCGAGCAUAUUCCUCUAUAUUCCAUUCCUUCAUCUCCUAACAAUAUGACUAGAUCUGACCUCAUACAUGUUGACCCGUUUGUUAGCGAUUGUGAGCUUGAACAUGCAGGUACUAAUGAUGAUGUUACUAAUGAUAUUGCCCAACCUGCCUCUCCUGCUCCUUCUCCACCUCCUGUGAAUGUGGAUCCACCUCUUCGUCGUUCUACCCGUGUCAGUAAGUCUACUCGUCUUCCUGAUUUUGCUUAUUCUGCAUAUUCUCCUUCUUUCACUGCUUUUCUUUCUUCAAUCCACAAAAUUGUUGAACCCAUCUCCUAUAAGGAGGUCUUCUCUUAAUCCUUUGUGGCAACGGGCUAUGGAUGAUGAACUUCAAGCUCUACACAAGACUGGUACUUGGGAGUUGGUACCCCUUCCACAAGGAAAGCAUGCC